CAUGGUAGAGCAUGCAAGAGGAUACUUCAAAGAAAUAUAAAACAAUUAAGAAAGCUGAUAACAUGCAGAGCCUCAAGAGGACACUUCAAAGAAAUUGCUUGUUGAAUUGAUUUCUUUGUAUUAAACUAAUUUCUUUAACGCGUCACUCCCCAAUAGGAACUUUCCUUGCAGGUCCAUCCCAUGCAAGGCGGCCUUAUAAAAUGUUGGUCCUGCCUUGUCCUCUGUACGUACUCAAAGCAAACAUAUCUUCCUUCUAUCCCUCUAGUGAUUCCUCAAGAGCCCUUUUUACCAUUCCUUCACCAACCAUCAACAAAUGGCAGAAGCCAUUAUCGUCAACGUUGCUGCAAAAAUCAUUGAGAGCUUGGGAUCCCAGGCUCUCAAAGAGAUCGGACUGCUUUGGGGUGUCAAAGAUGAGCUUGAGAAGCUCCAGAACACCUUUUCAACAAUCCAAGCCGUGCUUCGUGAUGCUGAGGAGCAAUCGGCAGUUAACCUUCAAGUUAGAGAUUGGCUCGAAAAGCUUAAGGAUGUCGCUUAUGAUGCAGACGACUUGCUGGAUGGUUUCUCCACUGUACAUCUGUUGCGAGAGAUGAUGACUCGGGAUAAGAUGGCAAAAAAGGUACGAAUCUUCUUCUCCAAAUCAAACCAGCUUGUCUAUGAUUUUAAAAUGGGCCAUAAGAUUAAGGCCAUUAGACAGAAGUUAGAUGCCAUUUCAAAUGACAGGAUGAAAUUCCACUUCAAUGAACGCCCUAUGGAGAUAGGAGUCAGGGCUAGGAAUACUCAUUCCUAUGUACCCGAGGCAGAAGUUAUUGGUAGAGAGGAUGCCAAGAAGGAGAUCAUAGAUAUACUUCUUUCUGAUUCCAAUGUUGAAGGGAAUGUAGGAAUCCUUCCGAUUACUGGCAUCGGAGGAUUAGGAAAGACCACACUAGCUCAACUCAUAUUUAAUGAUCUGAAAGUAGAUGCACAUUUUCAGCUAAAAAUGUGGGUGUGCGUCUCUGAUAAUUUUGUUGUUAGAAAAGUUGUUGAAAAUAUCCUACAAUCGGCAACAAAAAAGAAACAAGAGAGUGUUGAAAUGGACACAUUGGUGCAUCGUCUUCGAGAAAAAAUUGGUGGAAAGAAAUACUUACUUGUGUUGGAUGAUGUUUGGAACGAGGAUGUUGGAAAAUGGCAUGAAUUGAAAAAACUAUUGAUGACUGGUGCAAUUGGGAGUAGAAUACUAUUAACUACACGUAGUGCACAAGUUGCAAGAAUUACCCAAUCAAUUGAACUAUACUCCUUACAGUGCUUAGACAGCCAGAAGUCAUGGUGUUUAUUCAAGCAAGUGGCAUUUGUGGACGGGCAAGAGCCAGUGAAUUCUAGAAAAAAAGUCGAAGUUGGAAAGAAGAUUGUAGAAAAGUGUUCAGGUGUCCCUCUUGUCAUCAAAACAAUUGGAAGUUCACUAAUCUUUAAAGAUUCUGAAGAGUGGGUUAAUUUCGAAAAAAAUAAACUGGCAAAAACAAAAGAAAAUGAAAUCAUACCAACUCUUAAGCUGAGUUAUGAUCAACUUCCAUCACAUUUGAAACAAUGUUUUGCUUAUUGUAGUAUAUUUCCGAAGGAUUACGUGAUGGAAAAAUCAAAAUUGAUAAAUCUCUGGAUAGCACAGGGUUUUAUCAAGCCUUCCAAUCAAAAUGAAUGUCUUGAAGAUGUUGGUCAUGAGUAUUUCAUGGAUUUACUUUGGAGAUCCUUCUUUCAAGAAGCUGAAAUGGAUGGUUUAGGAAAUGUGUUUACGAUUAAAAUGCACGACCUCAUGCAUGAUCUUGCAAGCUCAGUAGCAGGAUCGUUGAUCACCAGAUUAGAAUCUGAGGAAAAAAGUGUUAGUGAUCUGAAAACUCGGCACGUAUCAGUCGUCGGCAAUAUAGAUUUUUCCUUAGUAAUUCCAACUUCCUCAUCUAAAGCCAGUAAGACACGAACACUUCUUUGCCUUGGCAAAUUCUUCGAGAAUUUGCAAGAGUACCCAGGUACUUCAUGUGAAGCAAUCUUUUCAAGUUUUAAGUUCUUGCGCGCGCUGGCUUUAAAUGGAAGAAGGUUCCAUUUAGUACCGAGUUCCAUAUGUAAGUUGAAGCAUUUAAGAGAUCUUGAUCUUUCAUGGAAUGAUAAAAUUAAGAAGCUGCCCGAUUCCAUAAGUAGGUUGCAAAAUUUGUAUUCACUAAGACUCUCUGGUUGCUCGAGUCUUGAAGAAUUGCCUACAGGAAUUACGAAAUUAGUCAACCUCAGGCAUCUUUACAAUGAUGAAUGUAGAAGUUUGACUUAUAUGCCACGUGGAUUGGGGCAAUUGAAAAAUCUUCAGACAUUAUCUACGUUUCAUUUCCCCUCUGAUUCGGCCCCAGAGGAUAUUGGCCAGUUAAGCGAGCUAAAUACACUAAAUAGCUUAAGAGGAGUAUUACAGAUUUUGGGUUUGAGACAUGGGGAAGACUAUAAGGGUGCAAAUCUAAAGGUGAAAGAACAUCUUCAGGUUUUGACUUUAAGUUGGGGAUCAGGAGAAGAUGUUAUUAAUGCACGUGAUGAAAAUAUGGCAUUGGAAGGCCUUGAACCUCACCCAAAUCUUAAAAAGCUGCGUAUAAAUUAUUAUGGGGGUGUGAAGCUUUCGGAAGGUUUUUCGUCACUCACAAAUCUUGUUGAUUUGAGUUUAAGAGGUUGUAAGAAAUUGAAAUAUUUGCCACCAUUGAGUCGACUACCCUCUCUUAAGAGAAUUAAUCUGUUCAAACUUGAGGAAAUAGAGUACGUGUCAGAUUGCAGUGACAACAAUGAGUUAUCUUCUUUUUCUUCAUCAGCAUUCUUCCCAUCUCUGGAGGUAAUUUGGAUCGAAGACUGUCAUAAUCUGAAGGGUUGGUGGAGGAGGAGUGAUUCUUAUAAUGUGGAUGUCAAUACUACUGAUCAUGCUUUACUAUUUCCUCGUCUUUCAUAUUUACGAGUAUAUGAUUGCCCUAUGUUGACUUCAUUGCCAAUGUUUCCACAUCUGGAAGAAGUGUUAUACCUACACGGUGCCAGGUGGAAGCCAGUGCAACAAACAAUAACGAAUGCCUCCUCCUCCUCCGCUUCCUCUACACCCAUUGCCUUUUCAUCUCCUCCUCUCUCCAAAUUGAAGACAAUAUCCUUAUAUCAUAUUCACGAUCUAGAAACACUGCCAGUGCAAAACCUCACAUCUCUCCAGCAUUUGACGAUAGAUGACUGUCCCAUGCUUGAUCUAGGUAACGAUGAGCACGGGAUGCAAUGGAAAGGGCUUAAAAGCCUCAUCUCUUUGGAGUUUAAAGGUAUUCCGAAAUUGGUGUCUCUCCCUUUGGGGCUUCAACAUGUUACCUCUCUACGAGAGCUCCGAAUCUCAGAUUGUUCGAGCUUGGUGGUUAUACCAGAGUGGAUCUACAAUUGGGCAUCACUUGAGCAGUUCACAAUUGAUAACUGCUCUGGUUUAACAUCACUGUCUGAAGCAAUGAGUAGGCUAACCACUCUACGAGAGCUCCAAAUCUCAAUUUGUCCCAUGCUUGAUCUAGGCAACGGUAUGCAAUGGAAAGGGCUUAAAAGCCUCAUCUCUUUAGAUUUUAAUAGUAUUCCGAAAUUGGUGUCUCUCCCAUUGGGGCUUCAACAUGUUACAACUCUACGAAAGCUCCGAAUCUUUGAUUGUUCGAGCUUGGUGGCUAUACCAGAGUGGAUCUGCAAUUGGGCAUCACUUGAGCAGUUCAAAAUUUUUAGAUGCGAUGGUUUAACAUCACUGCCUGAAGAUAUGCGUAGGCUAACCUCUCUACGAAAGCUCGAAAUCUCAUUUUGUCCCAUGCUUGAUCUAGGCAACGAUGAGCACAGGAUGCAAUGGGAAGGGCUUAAAAGCCUCAUCUCUUUGGAGUUUACGGGUAUGCGGAAAUUGGUGUCUCUCCCAUUGGGGCUUCAACAUGUUACAACUCUACGAAAGCUCCAAAUCUCAUAUUGUUCGAGCUUGGUGGCUAUACCAGAGUGGAUCUGCAAUUGGGCAUCACUUGAGGAGUUCACAAUUUCUACAUGCAAUGGUUUAACAUCACUGCCUGAAGAUAUGCGUAGGCUAACCUCUCUACGAGAGCUCGAAAUCUCAUUUUGUCCCAUGCUUGAUCUAGGCAACGAUGAGCACGGGAUGCAAUGGAAAGGGCUUAAAAGCCUCAUCUCUUUGGAGUUUACGGGUAUGCCGAAAUUGGUGUCUCUCCCAUUGGGGCUUCAACAUGUUACAACUCUACGAAAGCUCCGAAUCUCAUCUUGUUCGAGCUUGGUGGCUAUACCAGAGUGGAUCUGCAAUUGGGCAUCACUUGAGGAGUUCACAAUUUUUAGUUGCAAUGGUUUAACAUCACUGCCUGAAGAUAUGCGUAGGCUAACCUCUUUGAAAAGGUUGGAAAUUUAUGACUGCCCCAUCUUAUUACGAAGAUGCGAACAAGAGAGAGGCGAGGAUUGGCCCAAGAUUGCUCACAUCCCAUACCGGUCCAUACUCUGAUCGAGAAACGACUUCGAGUAAAGAAGAAACAGGGGAGAGGGAUUAAGAGUUUGUUAAAAAAAUCUGAUGCACUGCGACUUCUACAAAUUCUUCACAUCCAGGAGAAUAGUAAUGAGGCGGAAGAAGAGCAAAGGGAAGAAAUAUAGGAGGGGGUUGCGGAGGAGAUCUAGGACUGGAAUUCGAGGGCCGCAAUAUUGAGGCUGUGUAAUUUCACGACAACAAUUUCAACAGGGGCCUGCAUGUUUCUUAGCGUGGAAAGUGAUGGCAAUUUUAUUUUUCUCAAGACUAUCUCAUAUGUCUAAACUUAAGAGUGAUGAUUUGGUUUGCAUGUUGGAGCACAUGUAUAUGAAGUUGAUCAUAGCUACAUGUGCAUGCUCUCCAAGAACAUUUUAUGCCAUCAAUUAUCUUGCAGCUAGCUAUUGCACAGAAAAUGAGGAUUUUCGAUUUCAUCCUAUGCUCGGUUUGUGGCAGCUUGUAACAUAUUUUCUUUCACUCUAAACGGGUUAAUAACUCAUGUUUGCAGUUUGCUAUUGGAGUACCUAUCUAUUACUGUGUUAUCAUUUGAUAUUAUAGAGGAGGUGUCCAAACUUGAUGUGAAUUUUAUAUAAUUCUAGCACUUUUAGUAUUAUUUCAUAUUGAAACAUUCAAA
Carya illinoinensis is the source of this 5132-nucleotide RNA transcript. It is a transcript of the gene named putative disease resistance protein RGA3, with no coding region annotated. The transcript has 3 exons. Lineage: Eukaryota; Viridiplantae; Streptophyta; Magnoliopsida; Fagales; Juglandaceae. The record is from RefSeq and is a predicted model, not a curated record.